Molecule: ribosomal RNA, 483 nt
Filed under: uncultured bacterium
Lineage: Bacteria
Description: partial 16S ribosomal RNA
Rfam family: Bacterial small subunit ribosomal RNA
Source: RNAcentral
UUGAACGCUGGCGGCAGGCCUAACACAUGCAAGUCGAGCGGAUGAAGGGAGCUUGCUCCUGGAUUCAGCGGCGGACGGGUGAGUAAUGCCUAGGAAUCUGCCUGGUAGUGGGGGAUAACGUCCGGAAACGGGCGCUAAUACCGCAUACGUCCUGAGGGAGAAAGUGGGGGAUCUUCGGACCUCACGCUAUCAGAUGAGCCUAGGUCGGAUUAGCUAGUUGGUGGGGUAAAGGCCUACCAAGGCGACGAUCCGUAACUGGUCUGAGAGGAUGAUCAGUCACACUGGAACUGAGACACGGUCCAGACUCCUACGGGAGGCAGCAGUGGGGAAUAUUGGACCAUGGGCGAAAGCCUGAUCCAGCCAUGCCGCGUGUGUGAAGAAGGUCUUCGGAUUGUAAAGCACUUUAAGUUGGGAGGAAGGGCAGUAAGUUAAUACCUUGCUGUUUUGACGUUACCAACAGAAUAAGCACCGGCUAACUUCGUG